UGUCUUCGGGGCGGGGUGCAAUUCCCCACCGGCGGUAAAGCGGCGUAAGCCGACGAGCCCGCGAGCGAAAGCUGAUUUGGUUUGAUUCCAAAGCCGACGGUAUAGUCCGGAUGGAAGAAGAU
Molecule: non-coding RNA, 122 nt
Filed under: uncultured Caproiciproducens sp.
Lineage: Bacteria; Bacillati; Bacillota; Clostridia; Eubacteriales; Acutalibacteraceae
Description: FMN riboswitch (RFN element)
Rfam family: FMN riboswitch aptamer (RFN element)
About the family: The RFN element is a highly conserved domain that is found frequently in the 5'-untranslated regions of prokaryotic mRNAs that encode for flavin mononucleotide (FMN) biosynthesis and transport proteins. This element is a metabolite-dependent riboswitch that directly binds FMN in the absence of proteins. In Bacillus subtilis, the riboswitch most likely controls gene expression by causing premature transcription termination within the 5' untranslated region of the ribDEAHT operon and precluding access to the ribosome-binding site of ypaA mRNA.
Source: RNAcentral